GUGCCAGCAGCCGCGGUAAUACAGAGGGUGCAAGCGUUGUCCGGAAUGAUUGGGCGUAAAGCAUCUGUAGGUGGUUUCUAAAGUCAACUGUCAAAUCCCAGAGCUCAACUUUGGACAGGCAGUUGAGUACUUAGGGACUUGAGUGUGGUAGGGGUAGAGGGAAUUCCUAGUGGAGCGGUGAAAUGCACAGAGAUUAGGAAGAACACCAGUGGCGAAAGCGCUCUACUGGGCCACGACUGACACUGAGAGAUGAAAGUUGGGGGAGCGAAAAGGAUUAGAUACCCUCGUAGUCC
Molecule: ribosomal RNA, 293 nt
Filed under: uncultured bacterium
Lineage: Bacteria
Description: partial 16S ribosomal RNA
Rfam family: Bacterial small subunit ribosomal RNA
Source: RNAcentral